Molecule: long non-coding RNA, 249 nt
Organism: Leptinotarsa decemlineata (Colorado potato beetle)
Lineage: Eukaryota; Metazoa; Arthropoda; Insecta; Coleoptera; Chrysomelidae
Source: RefSeq, a predicted model, not a curated record
GAAUUUGUUUAUAUUUUGAAUGUAUUGUGCAACGAAAUCAAUAAUAAUUGAUAUUAAAUAUUUUUUUACAGACAAUGGUACAGUGUUGGGCACCCCACUGCAAGCAUUAUAAUGUUCGAAAAACAUGUAAAUUUUUUUAGCUUUCCCAAGGAUUCAAAAAUUGGAAACCGCUGGAUUAAGUUAACAAGACGAACUAUACAACCAGGCCCUGGUGCAUUUUUGUGCAGUUGCCACUUUGUUGAUGGAAAC